This 740-nucleotide long non-coding RNA is filed under the name Zostera marina. RNAcentral's name for it is "long non-coding RNA (ZMAR_LNC004783)". The record is from RNAcentral. Lineage: Eukaryota; Viridiplantae; Streptophyta; Magnoliopsida; Alismatales; Zosteraceae.
CGAUCAUAUAUAUUGGACCUUGGCUGAAAGCAUCAAAUGGAAAGAAAAAUGGGCGCAUUCUGGGAUUUAAAGUUGACAAUGAGGCAAUGACUCUAUGUUAUCAAAUAAGAGGAGAAAAAAAAUGAGCAAUGAGGAAACUGAGAAACACAACACUGAACAAUUUGAAUUGACAGUUUCCAAAGCCGUUGAAAAACGAAUGGAAGCGUUCGAAAUAGAAAACGAAAAACGACUUAAAAUGAUGGAACAACGAUUAAUUGACAAUAUACAUGUGAGUUUAAUAAAUGUUUUUAAAUUAGUUUUUAAAUUAGUUUUUAAAUUUAUUAAUUUUUGAAUAUCUUCAUUUAUUUUCAGGCUAAUGCUACAAGCAACGACCCCAAUCGUCCAUCAUCGAGUAAUGUUCCUGCUUCUUCUCAAUUGAACCAACUUAUUCCAUUAUCGAGAAAUUAUUGGGAAGAAGAUACUACUUUGAAUUCGACACCUCGACCAAAAGGUAAGACUUUAGAUAUUUUCAAUAUUGUUCAACAAAAAAAAUUGUAAAACAUUUACCUCUAUUGUAAUUGAAACACUUAACUCUAUUGUAAUUGUAAUCUUUAUUAUAACUCUAUUAUCUCUAAUAAACACUUAAUCUAAUUUGUGAUUCAAUAUGUGAAAUUUGUAUGAUUGAAUGUAUGUGAUUGGUGUGAUCGAUUGAAUGUAUGAGAUUGGUGUGAAUUGAAUUGUAUUUGCAGGUAUUGAGGAAC